CGAACAUAGAGAGGUUCAAAGACACAGUAUAUAAAGCUGAAAGUGAAUCCAAGAUAUUCAUAUCAAGUGUAUAGAAGAAAUGUGAAAUAGCCAAAUAAUUGCAUGCAAUAAAAAGUUAUCUAUCAUUUCCAUAAAAGAUGUCCUGGUUCUGACACUUCCUGAAUCCCAUCUUCAAGUACCGCUAUAUCUGGAUUUUUAUCUGCUCUCCAGUAGUUUCAUUCUCUUCUGUGUUCACCUCUCUCCGUUUCGGAAAUACCACUUCAUGACUGCUUUGAUCUCUCUCUCUCUGACUGCUCUCAUCUUGCCUCUCAUCCGUGUAUGAAAUCGAAGCCUCAAUACUUGAUUGCUGGCUGCUUGGCAAUUUGAUUCAAUGGUUAGUCUUGUAUCUAUUUCAGUUUCAAUUUCUUUGAAUUUGAUGAAUGUUUGAGAUGAUAUUGUUCUGGGUUUGACGGAUAUAGUUCGUUUAGAUCAAUUAUGCUUGGGUACUGAAUCAAUGUGGGUUUAGAUUGAUUUGGGAAAAUGGAACCAAAUCGAGCAGUUUUCUUCCAGUAGCUUCCAUUUCUUCUUCCUCAUCCUCCCUUUGUUCACUCAAUUCAAACAUGGCCGACUCUCCCAAACGGGUUUCAAAUCAAAAAUGCCUUCAAACUCAAAGCGUCUCAAAUUAUGCUCACACAAUGAAGACAGGAUCAAUGGGUUCCCAGAUGCAAUUCUUUGCCACAUUCUUUCUUUCUUUUCAAUCAGACAGGCUGUAAAGACCAGCAUUUUAUCACAUAAAUGGAGGAAUGUCUGGGCUUGAGUUCCCAAUCUAGAUUUCAAUGAAUAUGACUAUUAC
Molecule: long non-coding RNA, 832 nt
Organism: Rosa chinensis
Lineage: Eukaryota; Viridiplantae; Streptophyta; Magnoliopsida; Rosales; Rosaceae
Exons: 2
Source: RefSeq, a predicted model, not a curated record